UGAGGAAUAUUGGACAAUGGGCGCAAGCCUGAUCGAGCCAUGCCGCGUGCAGGAAGAAGCAUCUAUGGUGUGUAAACUGCUUUUGUACGGGAAGAAACACUCCUACGUGUAGGAGCUUGACGGUACCGUAAGAAUAAGGAUCGGCUAACUCCGUGCCAGCAGCCGCGGUAAUACGGAGGGUGCGAGCGUUGUCCGGAUUUAUUGGGUUUAAAGGGUGCGUAGGUGACUUUUUAAGUCAGUGGUGAAAUACAGCCGCUCAACGGUGGAACGGCCAUUGAUACUGUUAGACUUGAAUUACAAGGAAGUAACUAGAAUAUGUAGUGUAGCGGUGAAAUGCUUAGAUAUUACAUGGAAUACCAAUUGCGAAGGCAGGUUACUACUUGUGGAUUGACGCUGAUGGACGAAAGCGUGGGGAGCGAACA
Molecule: ribosomal RNA, 422 nt
Filed under: uncultured bacterium
Lineage: Bacteria
Description: bacterial SSU rRNA
Rfam family: Bacterial small subunit ribosomal RNA
Source: RNAcentral